Molecule: small RNA, 293 nt
Filed under: Arabidopsis thaliana (thale cress)
Lineage: Eukaryota; Viridiplantae; Streptophyta; Magnoliopsida; Brassicales; Brassicaceae
Description: ATSL072490
Source: RNAcentral
AAUAAGAAAAAAUAAUUAGUAUAAGCUUAAAAGUUAUGAAAUUUCGCCGUGAAGUAAAUAACACAAUGAACAAAACUAACGUGGUUAAACCAUCUCCAUCAAUGGUUUCUCAUUGAGAAACUGUUUAAUAUAAAAAUAAAAUAUAAUUAAAAUGUAUGAGAGAGAGUAGAAUUAGUCUCUCAAAUGAGAAACUCUGAGAAACCCAUAAGAACACUUGUAUAUUUGGUCAAAUAUUAUUUUAUUAUUAAAAUUUAAUUAUAUAACUAAUAUUUAUUAAAAUACUAAUAUUUCUU